UAGAACAUAUCUUUGUCUCCAGUUUCAAUUUCCCCGGUGUCCACAUUUCUGAAAACGUCUCCUGGUCCCUUAAACCUCAGUGCAAGAAAGGUGAAACAUUGGAUCACGAAGGAAGAGCUGCAUCUCCUGAAAUGUAACUCCAAGAACACUCACCUCGUGAGGCCAUUUACCACUUUCAAAAAGAACGUCACACCAGACUGCCUACCGCUCCUCUGUUGUCCAACCACGCCACAGCCUCGACAGUUCCACGUCUGCCAUCUUCGCCUUUCCCUC
This is a long non-coding RNA of Hypomesus transpacificus, 273 nucleotides long. RefSeq lists it as uncharacterized. The transcript is spliced from 3 exons. Lineage: Eukaryota; Metazoa; Chordata; Actinopteri; Osmeriformes; Osmeridae. The record is from RefSeq and is a predicted model, not a curated record.